AGUGUGAAAUCUGCCUGAAAGUC
RNAcentral lists this microRNA (23 nucleotides) under Gallus gallus (chicken). RNAcentral's name for it is "gga-miR-1769-3p". Lineage: Eukaryota; Metazoa; Chordata; Aves; Galliformes; Phasianidae. The record is from miRBase by way of RNAcentral.